This 2881-nucleotide ribosomal RNA is filed under the name Stenotrophomonas maltophilia. RNAcentral's name for it is "23S ribosomal RNA". It matches the Rfam family "Bacterial large subunit ribosomal RNA". The record is from RNAcentral. Lineage: Bacteria; Pseudomonadati; Pseudomonadota; Gammaproteobacteria; Lysobacterales; Lysobacteraceae.
GGUCAAGCGAAUAAGCGCACACGGUGGAUGCCUUGGCGGUCAGAGGCGAUGAAGGACGUGGCAGCCUGCGAAAAGUAUCGGGGAGCUGGCAACAAGCUUUGAUCCGGUAAUGUCCGAAUGGGGAAACCCACCCGCUUGCGGGUAUCCUGCAGUGAAUACAUAGCUGCUGGAAGCGAACCUGGUGAACUGAAAUAUCUAAGUAACCAGAGGAAAAGAAAUCAACCGAGAUUCCGUAAGUAGCGACGAGCGAACGCGGACUAGCCCUUAAGCUGAUUUGGUUCUAGGAAAACGCUCUGGAAAGAGCGGCCAUAGAAGGUGAUAGCCCUGUAUCUGAAAGGGCCAUUCCAGUGAAGACGAGUAGGGCGGGGCACGUGAAACCCUGUCUGAACAUGGGGGGACCAUCCUCCAAGGCUAAAUACUACUGACCGACCGAUAGUGAACCAGUACCGUGAGGGAAAGGCGAAAAGAACCCCGGAGAGGGGAGUGAAAUAGAACCUGAAACCGUGUGCGUACAAGCAGUAGGAGCUCCGCAAGGAGUGACUGCGUACCUUUUGUAUAAUGGGUCAGCGACUUACUGUUCGUGGCAAGCUUAACCGUAUAGGGGAGGCGAAAGGGAAACCGAGUCUGAUAAGGGCGCAUAGUCGCGGGCAGUAGACCCGAAACCGGGUGAUCUAGUCAUGCCCAGGGUGAAGGUGCGGUAACACGCACUGGAGGCCCGAACCCACUCCCGUUGCAAAGGUAGGGGAUGAGGUGUGAUUAGGAGUGAAAAGCUAAUCGAACCCGGAGAUAGCUGGUUCUCCUCGAAAGCUAUUUAGGUAGCGCCUCAUAUGUAUCCUCUCGGGGGUAGAGCACUGUUAUGGCUAGGGGGUCAUCGCGACUUACCAAACCAUUGCAAACUCCGAAUACCGAGACGGACUGUAUGGGAGACACACGGCGGGUGCUAACGUCCGUCGUGAAAAGGGAAACAACCCAGACCCACAGCUAAGGUCCCAAAUUUUGUGCUAAGUGGAAAACCAUGUGGAAAGGCACAGACAGCCAGGAGGUUGGCUUAGAAGCAGCCACCCUUUAAAGAAAGCGUAAUAGCUCACUGGUCGAGUCGGUCUGCGGGGAAGAUUUAACGGGGCUAAGCACAGAACCGAAGCUUGGGGUGCAUAACUUUGUUAUGCGCGGUAGAGGAGCGUUCCGUAAGCCGUUGAAGGUGGAUUGAGAAGUCUGCUGGAGGUAUCGGAAGUGCGAAUGCUGACAUGAGUAACGAUAAUGCGGGUGAAAAACCCGCACGCCGAAAGCCCAAGGUUUCCUUGCGCAACGUUAAUCGGCGCAGGGUGAGUCGGCCCCUAAGGCGAGGACGAAAGUCGUAGUCGAUGGGAAGCAGGUUAAUAUUCCUGCACCUCGCGUAAGUGCGAUGGAGGGACGGAGAAGGUUAGGUGUACCAGGCGUUGGUUGUCCUGGGGAAAGGCGGUAGGUUUGGAUCUUUGGCAAAUCCGGGAUCCUUUAAGACCGAGCACCGAGACGAGCCUUUAUGGCGAAGUCACUGAUACCACGCUUCCAGGAAAAGCUCCUAAGCUUCAGCUUACGCAGACCGUACCGUAAACCGACACAGGUGGGUAGGAUGAGAAUUCUCAGGCGCUUGAGAGAACUCGGGUGAAGGAACUAGGCAACAUGGCACCGUAACUUCGGGAGAAGGUGCACCCUUUUUGGUGGCUCGUGCGAGCUAUAGCUGAAGAGGGUCGCAGUAACCAGGCCGCUGCGACUGUUUAUCAAAAACACAGCACUCUGCAAACACGAAAGUGGACGUAUAGGGUGUGACGCCUGCCCGGUGCUGGAAGGUUAAUUGAUGGGGUCAGCCGCAAGGCGAAGCUCUUGAUCGAAGCCCCAGUAAACGGCGGCCGUAACUAUAACGGUCCUAAGGUAGCGAAAUUCCUUGUCGGGUAAGUUCCGACCUGCACGAAUGGCGUAACGACAGCGGCGCUGUCUCCACCCGAGACUCAGUGAAAUUGAAAUCGCUGUGAAGAUGCAGCGUUCCCGUGGCAAGACGGAAAGACCCCGUGAACCUUUACUAUAGCUUUACACUGAACGUUGAGUUCGUCUGUGUAGGAUAGGUGGGAGGCUAUGAAACUGUGGCGCUAGCUGCAGUGGAGCCAUCCUUGAAAUACCACCCUGUCGUGCUUGACGUUCUAACCUGGGCCCAUUAUCUGGGUCGGGGACCGUGUAUGGUGGGUAGUUUGACUGGGGCGGUCUCCUCCUAAAGAGUAACGGAGGAGCUCGAAGGUACGCUCAGCGCGGUCGGACAUCGCGCACUGUGUGCAAAGGCAUAAGCGUGCUUGACUGCAAGAUCGACGGAUCAAGCAGGUAGGAAACUAGGACUUAGUGAUCCGGUGGUUCUGUAUGGAAGGGCCAUCGCUCAACGGAUAAAAGGUACUCCGGGGAUAACAGGCUGAUACCGCCCAAGAGUUCAUAUCGACGGCGGUGUUUGGCACCUCGAUGUCGGCUCAUCACAUCCUGGGGCUGUAGUCGGUCCCAAGGGUAUGGCUGUUCGCCAUUUAAAGUGGUACGCGAGCUGGGUUCAGAACGUCGUGAGACAGUUCGGUCCCUAUCUGCCAUGGGCGUUGGAGAUUUGAGAGGGGCUGCUCCUAGUACGAGAGGACCGGAGUGGACGAACCUCUGGUGUUCCGGUUGUCACGCCAGUGGCAUUGCCGGGUAGCUAUGUUCGGAAGCGAUAACCGCUGAAAGCAUCUAAGCGGGAAGCGCGCCUCAAGAUGAGAUCUCCCGGGGCACAAGCCCCCUGAAGGAACCAUGUAGACUACGUGGUUGAUAGGUCAGGUGUGUAAGUACAGCAAUGUAUUGAGCUAACUGAUACUAAUGAUCCGUGCGGCUUGACCAU